Molecule: ribosomal RNA, 303 nt
Filed under: uncultured bacterium
Lineage: Bacteria
Description: partial 16S ribosomal RNA
Rfam family: Bacterial small subunit ribosomal RNA
Source: RNAcentral
AGCAGUCGCCGCGGUAAUACGUAGGGUGCAAGCGUUAAUCGGAAUUACUGGGCGUAAAGCGUGCGCAGGCGGUUAUAUAAGACAGAUGUGAAAUCCCCGGGCUCAACCUGGGAACUACAUUUGUGACUGUAUAGCUAGAGUACGGCAGAGGGGGAUGGAAUUCCGCGUGUAGCAGUGAAAUGCGUAGAUAUGCGGAGGAACACCGAUGGCGAAGGCAAUCCCCUGGGCCUGUACUGACGCUCAUGCACGAAAGCGUGGGGAGCAAACAGGAUUAGAUACCCCCGUAGUCCCUGUCUCUUAUAC